Vigna angularis (adzuki bean) is the source of this 84-nucleotide non-coding RNA. NCBI's taxonomy places the organism in Eukaryota, Viridiplantae, Streptophyta, Magnoliopsida, Fabales, Fabaceae. The record is from Rfam.
AGGAGCCGAAUGAAACAAAAGUUUCACGUUCGGUUUUGAAUUAGAGACGUUAAAUCAAAAUCAUGAAUCAACGUCGACUAUAAC